This 253-nucleotide ribosomal RNA is filed under the name uncultured bacterium. Its description in RNAcentral is "partial 16S ribosomal RNA". It matches the Rfam family "Bacterial small subunit ribosomal RNA", at positions 524 to 776 of the family's 1533-position model. The record is from RNAcentral.
UACGUAGGCAGCAAGCGUUGUUCGGAGUUACUGGGCGUAAAGGGUGCGUAGGCGGCUUUUUAAGUCUGGUGUGAAAUCUCCCGGCUCAACUGGGAGGGUGCGCCGGAUACUGAGGGGCUAGAGUGUGGGAGAGGAAAGUGGAAUUCCUGGUGUAGCGGUGAAAUGCGCAGAUAUCAGGAAGAACACCAGCGGCGAAGGCGGCACUCUGGGCUGGAAUUGACGCUGAGGAGCGAAAGUGUGGGUAGCAAACAGG